Molecule: ribosomal RNA, 775 nt
Filed under: uncultured Neocallimastigales
Lineage: Eukaryota; Fungi; Neocallimastigomycota; Neocallimastigomycetes; Neocallimastigales
Description: partial large subunit ribosomal RNA
Rfam family: Eukaryotic large subunit ribosomal RNA
Source: RNAcentral
AGAGAGAGACAUGCGCGCAUAUCAAUAAGCGGAGGAAAAGAAACUAACUAAGGAUUCCCCUAGUAACGGCGAGUGAAGCGGGAAGAGCUCAAAUUUGAAAUCUUCAAGGGUUCUACCUUUACGAAUUGUAGUUUAAAGAAGUGUUUUCUGUUGAGGUUUUGGUAAAAGUUCUUUGGAAUAGGACAUCAUAGAGGGUGAGAAUCCCGUAUUUGACCUUUACUUUCAACUUUGUGAUACACUUUCAAAGAGUCGGAUUGUUUGGGAAUGCAGUCCAAAAUGGGUGGUAAAUUUCAUCUAAAGCUAAAUAUUGGCGAGAGACCGAUAGCGAACAAGUACCGUGAGGGAAAGAUGAAAAGAACUUUGAAAAGAGAGUUAAACAGUACGUGAAAUUGUCAAAAGGGAAGCGUUUGACACCAGUGUUGUUUUUCUGAAAAUCAAUUAAAGAACUGUUUAUGCUAAGUUGUUUAGACUUUAUCAGCUAACUGUUUAGUUUUGAGCUUUUCUUUAAUGCACUUUUCAGUUAACAAGUCAACAUCAAUUUCUUUUGCUGUAAAAAAGCUUGAGGAAGGUGGCUUGAGAUUCGUCUUAAGUGUUUAUAGCCUCUUGCCUAUGCAGUCGGAGAGAUUGAGGUCUGCAGCGUAGAUCCUUCGGGGCUAAAUGCAUUUGUGCUAAGUUAUAGCAUUUAUAGACAACUUGUUGACUAUGAUUUGUCUUGUAGCUUACUCGCUUAUGUUAUUUUACCUACGCUUAGGAUGUUGAGCGCAUGUCUCUCUCU